GGAGAAUUGGCCGAGUGGUCGAAGGCGCUCCCUUGGAAAGGGAGUAUACGCGCGAGCGUAUCGUGGGUUCGAAUCCCAUGUUCUCCGCCA
This 90-nucleotide transfer RNA is filed under the name Bacteriovoracaceae bacterium. Its description in RNAcentral is "tRNA-Ser". It matches the Rfam family "tRNA". Rfam says of the family: Transfer RNA (tRNA) molecules are approximately 80 nucleotides in length. Their secondary structure includes four short double-helical elements and three loops (D, anti-codon, and T loops). The record is from RNAcentral. Lineage: Bacteria; Pseudomonadati; Bdellovibrionota; Bacteriovoracia; Bacteriovoracales; Bacteriovoracaceae.